UGGGGAAUAUUGCACAAUGGGCGAAAGCCUGAUGCAGCGACGCCGCGUGCGGGAUGAAGGCCUUCGGGUUGUAAACCGCUUUUAAUUGGGAGCAAGCGAGAGUGAGUGUACCUUUUGAAUAAGCACCGGCUAACUACGUGCCAGCAGCCGCGGUAAUACGUAGGGUGCAAGCGUUAUCCGGAAUUAUUGGGCGUAAAGAGCUCGUAGGCGGUUUGUCACGCCUGGUGUGAAAGUCCAUCGCUUAACGGUGGAUCUGCGCCGGGUACGGGCAGGCUAGAGUGCAGUAGGGGAGAUUGGAAUUCCCGGUGUAACGGUGGAAUGUGUAGAUAUCGGGAAGAACACCAAUGGCGAAGGCAGAUCUCUGGGCUGUUACUGACGCUGAGGAGCGAAAGCAUGGGGAGCGAACAGGAUUAGAUACCCUGGUAGUCCAUGCCGUAAACGGUGGAUGCUGGAUGUGGGACCCUUCCACGGGUUCCGUGUCGGAGCUAACGCGUUAAGCAUCCCGCCUGGGGAGUACGGCCGCAAGGCU
RNAcentral lists this ribosomal RNA (529 nucleotides) under uncultured bacterium. RNAcentral's name for it is "partial 16S ribosomal RNA". It matches the Rfam family "Bacterial small subunit ribosomal RNA", at positions 355 to 895 of the family's 1533-position model. The record is from RNAcentral.